RNAcentral lists this ribosomal RNA (414 nucleotides) under uncultured microorganism. RNAcentral's name for it is "bacterial SSU rRNA". It matches the Rfam family "Archaeal small subunit ribosomal RNA", at positions 459 to 872 of the family's 1478-position model. The record is from RNAcentral.
CAGCCGCCGCGGUAAUACCGGCGGCCCGAGUGGCGGUCACUAUUAUUGGGCUUAAAGCGUCCGUAGCCGGGUUGGGAAGUCCUCCGGGAAAUCUGGCCGCUUAAAGGUCAGAAUGCCGGAGGAUACUCCCAGCCUAGGGAGCGGGAGAGGCCGAGGGUAUUCCCGGAGUAGGGGUGGAAUCCUAUAAUCCCGGGAGGACCACCUGUUGCGAAGGCGCUCGGCUGGAACGCGUCCGACGGUGAGGGACGAAGGCCAGGGGAGCAAACCGGAUUAGAUACCCGGGUAGUCCUGGCUGUAAACGAUGCGGACUUUGUGUCGGACAAGCUAUGAGCUUGUCCGGUGCCGGAGGGAAACCGUUAAGUCCGCCGCCUGGGGAGUACGGCCGCAAGGUUGAAACUUAAAGGAAUUGGCGGG